RNAcentral lists this ribosomal RNA (231 nucleotides) under Triticum aestivum (bread wheat). Its description in RNAcentral is "partial small subunit ribosomal RNA". Lineage: Eukaryota; Viridiplantae; Streptophyta; Magnoliopsida; Poales; Poaceae. The record is from RNAcentral.
AUGAUAUACUGGUAUUCACUGGGACUUUGGAAGAACACUUGCAACAUUUGCAAGAAGUAUUUGAUAUACUCAAGGAGAACAACUUGUUUGUUAAGGAAAGCAAAUGUGCCUUUGCUCAGCAGUCAAUGGAGUAUCUGGGCCACAUUAUUACUGAUGCAGGAGUCACCACUGAUCCUGCCAAGACAGCUGCUAUGGUGGACUGGCCCACUCCAACUAAUGUUACUGAGUUGA